This is a long non-coding RNA of Diospyros lotus (date-plum), 185 nucleotides long. RefSeq lists it as uncharacterized. The record is from RefSeq and is a predicted model, not a curated record. Lineage: Eukaryota; Viridiplantae; Streptophyta; Magnoliopsida; Ericales; Ebenaceae. The transcript has 3 exons.
CAAGAAGGCAAGUAAGAAGGCAAGGAAGUCUAGAGAAGGAAGAGAAAGUCUAGCAAAAGGGUGAGUAUUAGCUUGUGGAGGUGUUGAAGCUUCAAAGUCUAAGAGGGAUUCUUGGCUUGUGAGAGUGUAAAGCUUCAAGGAAACAAGGUGGAGAAACAUCCAAGGGAAAGGGAGUUUUGCAAGGG